GAUGAACGCUGGCGGCGUGCCUAAUACAUGCAAGUCGAGCGAACAGACGAGGAGCUUGCUCCUCUGACGUUAGCGGCGGACGGGUGAGUAACACGUGGAUAACCUACCUAUAGGACUGGGAUAACUUCGGGAAACCGGAGCUAAUACCGGAUAAUAUAUUGAACCGCAUGGUUCAAUAGUGAAAGACGGUUUUGCUGUCACUUAUAGAUGGAUCCGCGCCGCAUUAGCUAGUUGGUAAGGUAACGGCUUACCAAGGCAACGAUGCGUAGCCGACCUGAGAGGGUGAUCAGCCACACUGGAACUGAGACACGGUCCAGACUCCUACGGGAGGCAGCAGUAGGGAAUCUUCCGCAAUGGGCGAAAGCCUGACGGAGCAACGCCGCGUGAGUGAUGAAGGUCUUCGGAUCGUAAAACUCUGUUAUUAGGGAAGAACAAAUGUGUAAGUAACUAUGCACGUCUUGACGGUACCUAAUCAGAAAGCCACGGCUAACUACGUG
Molecule: ribosomal RNA, 497 nt
Filed under: uncultured bacterium
Lineage: Bacteria
Description: partial 16S ribosomal RNA
Rfam family: Bacterial small subunit ribosomal RNA
Source: RNAcentral